RNAcentral lists this ribosomal RNA (253 nucleotides) under uncultured bacterium. RNAcentral describes it as "partial 16S ribosomal RNA". It matches the Rfam family "Bacterial small subunit ribosomal RNA", at positions 524 to 776 of the family's 1533-position model. The record is from RNAcentral.
UACGAAGGGGGCUAGCGUUGUUCGGAAUUACUGGGCGUAAAGCGCGCGCAGGCGGUCUUCCAAGUCAGUGGUGAAAGCCCGGAGCUCAACUCCGGAAUUGCCAUUGAAACUGCGAGACUGGAGUACGAGAGAGGUGAGUGGAAUUCCCAGUGUAGAGGUGAAAUUCGUAGAUAUUGGGAAGAACACCGGUGGCGAAGGCGGCUCACUGGCUCGUAACUGACGCUCAGGCGCGACAGCGUGGGGAUCAAACAGG